This 505-nucleotide ribosomal RNA is filed under the name uncultured bacterium. RNAcentral's name for it is "bacterial SSU rRNA". It matches the Rfam family "Bacterial small subunit ribosomal RNA", at positions 28 to 526 of the family's 1533-position model. The record is from RNAcentral.
GACGAACGCUGGCGGCGUGGAUUAGGCAUGCAAGUCGAACGGUAUCAUCCUUUCGGGGGUGAGAGAGUGGCGAACUGGUGAGUAACACGUAGGUUAUCUACCCUCAAGACGGGGACAACCCAGGGAAACUUGGGCUAAUACCGGAUGUGAGCAACUUUUAGUUGUUUGAAAGGUGGCGUAAGCUGUCGCUUGGGGAUGAGCCUGCGUCCUAUUAGUUAGUUGGUGAGGUAACGGCUCACCUAGGCAAUGAUAGGUAGGCGGCCUUAACGGGUGGUCGCCCACACUGGGAUUGAGAUACGGCCCAGACUCCUACGGGAGGCAGCAGUCGAGAAUAGUCUACAAUGGUCGGAAGACUGAUAGUGCGACGCCGCGUGAACGAUGAAUCCCUUCGGGGUGUAAAGUUCUUUUAUAUGUGAGCAGUGCUUCUAUAUUAACAGUAUGGGGAAGAGAUAUUAGCAUAUGAAUAAGCAACGGCUAACUCCGUGCCAGCCAGCCGCGGUAAUAC